Molecule: ribosomal RNA, 584 nt
Filed under: uncultured bacterium
Lineage: Bacteria
Description: partial 16S ribosomal RNA
Rfam family: Bacterial small subunit ribosomal RNA
Source: RNAcentral
UGGGGAAUUUUGGACAAUGGGCGAAAGCCUGAUCCAGCAAUGCCGCGUGUGUGAAGAAGGCCUUCGGGUUGUAAAGCACUUUUGUCCGGAAAGAAAUCCUUGGCUCUAAUACAGUCGGGGGAUGACGGUACCGGAAGAAUAAGCACCGGCUAACUACGUGCCAGCAGCCGCGGUAAUACGUAGGGUGCAAGCGUUAAUCGGAAUUACUGGGCGUAAAGCGUGCGCAGGCGGUUUGCUAAGACCGAUGUGAAAUCCCCGGGCUCAACCUGGGAACUGCAUUGGUGACUGGCAGGCUAGAGUAUGGCAGAGGGGGGUAGAAUUCCACGUGUAGCAGUGAAAUGCGUAGAGAUGUGGAGGAAUACCGAUGGCGAAGGCAGCCCCCUGGGCCAAUACUGACGCUCAUGCACGAAAGCGUGGGGAGCAAACAGGAUUAGAUACCCUGGUAGUCCACGCCCUAAACGAUGUCAACUAGUUGUUGGGGAUUCAUUUCCUAGUAACGUAGCUAACGCGUGAAGUUGACCGCCUGGGGAGUACGGUCGCAAGAUUAAAACUCAAAGGAAUUGACGGGGUCAUAGCUGUUUCCU